This 481-nucleotide ribosomal RNA is filed under the name uncultured bacterium. Its description in RNAcentral is "partial 16S ribosomal RNA". It matches the Rfam family "Bacterial small subunit ribosomal RNA", at positions 28 to 507 of the family's 1533-position model. The record is from RNAcentral.
GAUGAACGCUGGCGGCGUGCUUAACACAUGCAAGUCGAACGAAGCAUUUGCGACAGAUUUUUUCGGAAUGAAGUUGCUUAUGACUGAGUGGCGGACGGGUGAGUAACGCGUGGGUAACCUGCCUUGUACUGGGGGAUAGCAGCUGGAAACGGCUGGUAAUACCGCAUAAGCGCACAAUGUUGCAUGACAUGGUGUGAAAAACUCCGGUGGUAUAAGAUGGACCCGCGUCUGAUUAGCUAGUUGGUGAGAUAACAGCCCACCAAGGCGACGAUCAGUAGCCGACCUGAGAGGGUGACCGGCCACAUUGGGACUGAGACACGGCCCAGACUCCCACGGGAGGCAGCAGUGGGGAAUAUUGCACAAUGGAGGAAACUCUGAUGCAGCGACGCCGCGUGAGUGAAGAAGUAAUUCGUUAUGUAAAGCUCUAUCAGCAGGGAAGAUAGUGACGGUACCUGACUAAGAAGCUCCGGCUAAAUACGUG